RNAcentral lists this ribosomal RNA (1154 nucleotides) under uncultured bacterium. Its description in RNAcentral is "bacterial SSU rRNA". It matches the Rfam family "Bacterial small subunit ribosomal RNA", at positions 336 to 1498 of the family's 1533-position model. The record is from RNAcentral.
CUCCUACGGGAGGCAGCAGUGGGGAAUAUUGCGCAAUGGGGGGAACCCUGACGCAGCAACGCCGCGUGAAGGAAGAAGGUUUUCGGAUCGUAAACUUCUUUGAUUGGGGACGAAAAAAAUGACGGUACCCAAAGAACAAGCCACGGCUAACUACGUGCCAGCAGCCGCGGUAAUACGUAGGUGGCGAGCGUUGUCCGGAAUUACUGGGUGUAAAGGGCGUGUAGGCGGGGGAGCAAGUCAGAUGUGAAAUUCCAUGGCUUAACUGUGGGACUGCAUCUGAAACUGUUUUUCUUGAGUACUGGAGAGGAAAGUGGAAUUCCUAGUGUAGCGGUGAAAUGCGUAGAUAUUAGGAGGAACACCGGUGGCGAAGGCGACUUUCUGGACAGUAACUGACGCUGAGGCGCGAAAGCGUGGGGAGCAAACAGGAUUAGAUACCCUGGUAGUCCACGCCGUAAACGAUGGAUACUAGGUGUAGGGGGUAUCGACCCCCCCUGUGCCGCAGUUAACACAAUAAGUAUCCCACCUGGGGAGUACGGCCGCAAGGUUGAAACUCAAAGGAAUUGACGGGGGCCCGCACAAGCAGUGGAGUAUGUGGUUUAAUUCGAAGCAACGCGAAGAACCUUACCAGAACUUGACAUCCCUCGCUAUGUGUUGAAAGACACAGUACCCUCGGGACGGGGAGACAGGUGGUGCAUGGUUGUCGUCAGCUCGUGUCGUGAGAUGUUGGGUUAAGUCCCGCAACGAGCGCAACCCUUGUUGUUAGUUGCCAUCAGGUAAAGCUGGGCACUCUAACGAGACUGCCGGUGAUAAACCGGAGGAAGGUGGGGAUGACGUCAAAUCAUCAUGCCCCUUAUGUUCUGGGCUACACACGUACUACAAUGGCUGUUACAGAGGGGAGCGAAACCGCAAGGCAGAGCCAAUCCCAAAAAACAGUCUCAGUUCGGAUUGUGGGCUGAAACCCGCCCGCAUGAAGUCGGAAUUGCUAGUAAUGGCAGGUCAUCAUACUGCCGUGAAUACGUUCCCGGGCCUUGUACACACCGCCCGUCACACCAUGAGAGUUUGCAACACCCGAAGUCAGUAGCCUAACGCGCAUUUAUGUGCGGGGGCGCUGCCGAAGGUGGGGCAAAUGAUUGGGGUGAAGUCGUAACAAGGUA